UACGUAGGGGCCUAGCGUUGUCCGGAUUUAUUGGGCGUAAAGAGCUCGUAGGCGGUUCGGUAAGUCAGGUGUGAAAUCUCCACGCUCAACGUGGAGGCGCCACCUGAAACUGCCGUGACUCGAGUCCGGUAGGGGAGUGUGGAAUUCCCGGUGUAGCGGUGAAAUGUGUUGAUAUCAUCAGGAACUCCGGUGGCGAAAGCGGCAUGCUGGACCUUCACUGACGCUGAUGCGCGAAAGCUAGGGGAGCGAACGGG
Molecule: ribosomal RNA, 254 nt
Filed under: uncultured bacterium
Lineage: Bacteria
Description: partial 16S ribosomal RNA
Rfam family: Bacterial small subunit ribosomal RNA
Source: RNAcentral